RNAcentral lists this non-coding RNA (166 nucleotides) under Subdoligranulum variabile. RNAcentral's name for it is "Lysine riboswitch". It matches the Rfam family "Lysine riboswitch aptamer". Rfam says of the family: Riboswitches are metabolite binding domains within certain messenger RNAs that serve as precision sensors for their corresponding targets. Allosteric rearrangement of mRNA structure is mediated by ligand binding, and this results in modulation of gene expression. Lineage: Bacteria; Bacillati; Bacillota; Clostridia; Eubacteriales; Oscillospiraceae. The record is from RNAcentral.
ACAGAGGUGCGGAGCGCAUCAGUAGCCUGUUCUGCAAGCCCUGCCAGGGGCAUAGGAUAGGCAAAAGGGCGUUUCGCCGAAGGCGGUAUGCGGCACAUACCGACCUGGGUCCGCGGUCGAACAGACGCGGGACUGUCACGCCCAAAAGGCGUGUUGCGCUGUGUGG